Molecule: long non-coding RNA, 869 nt
Organism: Cyprinus carpio carpio
Lineage: Eukaryota; Metazoa; Chordata; Actinopteri; Cypriniformes; Cyprinidae
Source: Ensembl
GAGCGUGUGUGUGGCCGCCAUUUUCUCGUCUGCCGCCACAGGGACUGCCACGGCGUAUUCGUUAUUGGAUUGUGAAUGUGGCAGUGCAAAGAAUGUCCAUCGCAACUAGCUAGCAGACAAAGAAAGAAGAGUGAAGAGAGACAGGGAAAAUGAUGAGAGAGAGAGAGAAAGAGAGAUGAAGAAGAGAGCAUAUCCUGACAGCUUUCAAAUUCCAGCCUUCACAUGGUGUUGGAAUAGGAAUCCAGCAGCAAGAGAGACGCCUACUCCAGAGGAAAAAAAACAUAAACAUCAAUAACAGAAUAAACUUUCACCAAAGGUAUUAAAGUAGCGAGGUAAAUCUUCGCUCGCCGUUUUUCCUCUGGGGAAAAGAUGUGCAACCCUGGGUAUCGCUGAUUGCCCUGAGAGAUCUGGGGAAUGGUGUGGGAUUGACGUGGCCUCCAUCCUCCAGUGGCGGUUGUGCUACCCUUGACGCCGGCCCGUUUAACAAGGCCUUCACUCAAGCCUGAGCAGGCCAUCAUCACACUCCCCCUACACUCCUACACUCAGGUCAAGGAUGUUUGACACCUCUCCUUCAGCCGGGCACACAGUAAUUCCUGCUGUUCAGUGUGUGACAUUCUGAUUCACAAUGACUUACAAGGACGGCUCUCCCAAAAAAGGAAAUGCUAGCAUCAUGUAUUGUCCCUUCUGUCAUUCUGAGUCCAUCUGAUUUUCUUUCUUCUGUGAAAUGCAAAAGGAGAUAUUUAGUUGAAUGUCCAAGCUGCUCUUUUCCAUUCAGUGAAAAUGGAUGGGGUCUAGAGACACCCUUGUGAAAAAGAAAUACAUACUGUUAAAAAGAGCACUUAUAUAUAAAGAGUUAUUUUGCAAAAACA